RNAcentral lists this long non-coding RNA (439 nucleotides) under Daucus carota (carrot). Its description in RNAcentral is "long non-coding RNA (DCAR_LNC004358)". The record is from RNAcentral. Lineage: Eukaryota; Viridiplantae; Streptophyta; Magnoliopsida; Apiales; Apiaceae.
ACUGUAUGAAAAGUGUGUAUACAGAUGUGAUACAAAGACAAGAUCUUCCUCCAUAUUUUGCUUUUUCUUUGUAAAAAAACUGUUAGUAUUUUAACCACUUUUCUUCGGUCGAGUUUGGCCUUAGAUAGUUGUUGGGCUUCUUCAAGUUUCAGAAUAUGCCAACAUAGUGAACUGUAUGAAAAUUGUGUAUACAGAUGUGAUACAAAGACAAGAUCUUCCUCUAUAUAAUUGAUUUUGCUUUUUCUUUGUAAAAAAAGCUGUUAGUCUUUUAACCACUUUUCUUAGUUUGACCUUAGAUAGUUGUUGGGCGUCUUCGACUAUUGUUAAUUCCAUAAUUUUUCCAGUCAAUUAUUAUUUGAUCAGGGUACUGUUUGCUGAUUCAUAAAAGUUUUCGGGAUGGUUUCCGAUUCAGUCGUAACAUCGUAAGUUCAAAUAAUUA